Uranotaenia lowii is the source of this 1283-nucleotide long non-coding RNA. RefSeq lists it as uncharacterized. NCBI's taxonomy places the organism in Eukaryota, Metazoa, Arthropoda, Insecta, Diptera, Culicidae. The transcript is spliced from 3 exons. The record is from RefSeq and is a predicted model, not a curated record.
UCUAAGUAUUCCACGUACAAAUUGUGUUAAAAAUGGGUGUAAUCGUUGAAGAAAAGUGUUUUCUACAAAUUCCUAUGAUUUUUCAUUACUCAAAUUGCAAUAAUUUCUUUAAAAACAUGAUUUUUAAAAACCAUAUUCAAAGCCACAGAACAAAACUGUGUUGCGAAUACGCGCCGCUGUGUAUUCAAUACGCGCCUAGCAGCCGAACACACCCGAGAGCAGCCGAAGACCGAAAACACACCAAUACUUUCAGACACUUUGACUGAAAAGAAAAUCAAAAUGGACUAAUAGAAAUUUAACAAAAAAUGAAAAAUAGAUUUUUUGGGCUGAAUUAACGCUCAAAAUAUGGUUUUAGACUUUUUGUUAAUUUUCAAUGAAAAUUGGCCUUUUUGAAAAAUUAAUGCUAUUUUCAGCCUACUACGAUUGGCGCGUUAUAAAGAGCGCAUGGGCCGUAAUAGAACAUACACAUAAAAAGCAUACCUUAGCGAGUUCAGUAUGAUUUUUUAGCAUAAAAUCAUAGUUUAGAUUCUCCUCUAUCGAUCUGUCAGAAAAUAUUGUCUUAUUUGUUUUUCUCUACUUGAUGACACCUUAUUGAAAGUGUUUUAAAAUUUAGAUCGAAAUGAAGAAAAACCUAAAUUGUGAAAUUAUCACGACACAGGGGCAUUUUAAGGAAAAAUUCAUACUUGCCAUGACCAAUCACAGCAUUUAAAACAAAUUGGUAAUAUUUUGCAGGCUUAAAAUGUUUCAGAUUCUUCAAAACAAGAGUGGCGCGUAUUAGCCACAUGGGGCGUUAUAUGAACUUUUCCCCUACUGGUUUCGCCGGCUGUGGCAGCAAGCACGAUGGUGGCUGAAAAUGAAGGACUAGCUGCUGAGUGUGAAUGGGUUUUAACUUCUAUGAUAAAUGAAUGCGGAGGCCAUGGUCAUGCUGGGGAGAGCUCUAUUGCAGGCUAGUAGGUGGAACAAACAAUCCCAGUAAAAAAAAAGUUCUAACCGAAGAGUCGGUCGGUCGAUGAACACCGUGAAACGUGCAUGAUCCGGUGAACAAUUCCAACUCUAGCCAGUCCGGCGCUACCGUGAUGUAUUUCAAUUUUUGGAUAAUUAGGAACUAAAAAUAUUUAAUUCUCAGCUAUCAAUCUUCGCUACCGAUUGGAACACCAAGCACGAACGACAGCGGAAAAAGAUGCAAUUCCAAAAAAUAAUCGUUCCGAUUCCUUUGAAUGAUCCAAACAGGAUCGAAUUUGCCCGCAACCAAAUUAGAUAUUGCCGGCAAACGGUUUUAACAA